Long non-coding RNA from Cervus elaphus (red deer), 253 nucleotides. RefSeq lists it as uncharacterized. NCBI's taxonomy places the organism in Eukaryota, Metazoa, Chordata, Mammalia, Artiodactyla, Cervidae. The record is from RefSeq and is a predicted model, not a curated record. The transcript is spliced from 3 exons.
CCGAGUCAGAGCUAAUUGGACAAGCCGGCCGUCAAGAAGGCGCGUCACGCAGCAACCGGGCCGGGCGGGAUGGAACCCGCGCCUGGGCUGCCGGGAAAGAUCCCUUGGGGCUUCCUGGUAAUGAAUGACCCGGGAGUAACACCGCUACAACCUGCGGGAAAAGGAGAGUCGUUUACCCGAUCCUGAGAUCUGCAGGAUUGAAAUGAAAUGUUUUGAGGUCUUCAAGCUGACUCAUCAAAAUAAUCCUGGAGCA